This 329-nucleotide ribosomal RNA is filed under the name uncultured eukaryote. Its description in RNAcentral is "partial 18S ribosomal RNA". It matches the Rfam family "Eukaryotic small subunit ribosomal RNA", at positions 1470 to 1796 of the family's 1831-position model. The record is from RNAcentral.
CCCUUAGAUGUUCUGGGCCGCACGCGAGCUACACUGAUGCAUUCAACGAGUCUAAAACCUGCUCUGAUAGGGGUGGGUAAUCUUUUGAAUGUGCAUCGUGAUUGGGAUAGAUGAUUGCAAUUUUUCAUCUUCAACGAGGAAUGCCUAGUAAACGCAAGUCAUCAGCUUGCAUUGAUUACGUCCCUGCCCUUUGUACACACCGCCCGUCGCUCCUACCGAUUGAAUGAUCCGAUGAAUAUCAUGGGUUGAGGAUGCAAGUAGGUUCGCCUAUCUUCAUCUUCGAGAAGUGAAGUAAAUCUUAUCAUUUAGAGGAAGGAGAAGUCGUAACA